Long non-coding RNA from Arabidopsis lyrata subsp. lyrata, 927 nucleotides. RefSeq lists it as uncharacterized. The record is from RefSeq and is a predicted model, not a curated record. NCBI's taxonomy places the organism in Eukaryota, Viridiplantae, Streptophyta, Magnoliopsida, Brassicales, Brassicaceae. The transcript has 2 exons.
UUUCAGAAUUUUUGCUUGGUUUACCAUAUUACCAUUUUAAAUAUAGUUUUAGAGAGUUGACCAAAAAAAAUAGAAAACAAUAUAGUACUUAGGAGCAAGGAAUUAGAAUGGUAAAUGGGGUUCCAACAGAGCAAACGUCACACAUAAACAUCAUUACAGAUAUAAUAUAAUCAGCUAGCAAAUCUUCCCAAAACAAAGAAUCUAAUUCAAGUCAUCAUGAGUUCCUCCGUAAUCGAAGGUGAAAACAAACGAACCUUGUCAAUUAAUAAAUUAGCUUAUAUCUUAAUCUCUUUGGUGAUAUGCACGCAGCUCCACCGAUUCAAACCAUGAACUCCGAGGAAAACAUCAAAGCAAAGACAGAAGAAGUAGUUAACGCCCCAUGUUGUCCAAACUGCGAUUGCACUGGAUCUGAAGAAGGUUCCCCAACAAAAGAUGAUUGUGCUGUCGCAUGUUUGAAAGCUCUUUGUGGGAUUAAUGAUUGAUCAAAUGGAAUCCCUUAAAUCAAAGUGCAUAUGCUAGCACUUUCUCAUGUUUCUUCUCCAAUGUUCCCAUUGCUGUUUCCAUAGUGACAUAUUUGUUGUAAGCUAAUAAGAAUAGGUGCGCGGUUCUAUCUUGCCGGAUUGUAAAGCAUAUGAUUCUUGAUUUGUUUAGGCAGUUUGUCAUCUAAAGAGGAGGUUUUGAGUAGCGAUCGUUGGCCGAGGGCAUCUUCAUUACGUUCUCUCAAAGUAUCUUCUGGAAAGAGGCUGCUUUAAUUUGAUUCCAGUUUGUCGAGUUUAAUUAGUUUCUAUCUUUUUCUUUGUGGGUUUUAUUCUUGUAUCGCUUUAUUCAUUUUGCCUCAUAUUAUUAGUAGUAUGCUUGAGAAAUCUUGUCUUUCUCCGACUAUGGCAAUGUAAUAAUGUGAAUAAAAAUUUGAUGACAAAAAAAAAA